AUCGUUUUAAUCGAUGGGGGGACGCAGUAGGAUAGGCGAAGCGUGCGAUUGGAUUGCACGUCUAAGCAGUAAGGCUGAGUAUUAGGCAAAUCCGGUACUCGUUAAGGCUGAGCUGUGAUGGGGAGAAGACAUUGUGUCUUCGAGUCGUUGAUUUCACACUGCCGAGAAAAGCCUCUAGAUAGAAAAUAGGUGCCCGUACCGCAAACCGACACAGGUAGUCAAGAUGAGAAUUCUAAGGUGAGCGAGCGAACUCUCGUUAAGGAACUCGGCAAAAUGACCCCGUAACUUCGGGAGAAGGGGUGCUCUUUAGGGUUAACGCCCAGAAGAGCCGCAGUGAAUAGGCCCAAGCGACUGUUUAUCAAAAACACAGGUCUCUGCUAAACCGUAAGGUGAUGUAUAGGGGCUGACGCCUGCCCGGUGCUGGA
This 425-nucleotide ribosomal RNA is filed under the name Bacillus thuringiensis. Its description in RNAcentral is "partial 23S ribosomal RNA". It matches the Rfam family "Bacterial large subunit ribosomal RNA", at positions 1450 to 1873 of the family's 2925-position model. The record is from RNAcentral. Lineage: Bacteria; Bacillati; Bacillota; Bacilli; Caryophanales; Bacillaceae.